Non-coding RNA from Morus notabilis, 87 nucleotides. Lineage: Eukaryota; Viridiplantae; Streptophyta; Magnoliopsida; Rosales; Moraceae. The record is from Rfam.
UUUCCCUAUGAUGCUUAAUUUGAUAAGAAACCAUGCUAAUGCUGAUCAAUAAGUGAUUGAUCUUGCUAUUCUUUUCCUGAGGGAUUU